UGCGCAGGCGGUUUUGUAAGUCAGAUGUGAAAUCCCCGGGCUCAACCUGGGACGUGCGUUGGAAACUGGCGAUCUAGAGUACGGUAGAGGGUGGUGGAAUUCCCGGUGUAGCAGUGAAAUGCGUAGAGAUCGGGAGGAACACUCGUGGCGAAGGCGGCCACCUGGACCAGUACUGACGCUGAGGCACGAAAGCGUGGGGAGCAAACAGGAUUAGAUACCCUAGUA
Molecule: ribosomal RNA, 225 nt
Filed under: uncultured Silanimonas sp.
Lineage: Bacteria; Pseudomonadati; Pseudomonadota; Gammaproteobacteria; Lysobacterales; Lysobacteraceae
Description: partial 16S ribosomal RNA
Rfam family: Bacterial small subunit ribosomal RNA
Source: RNAcentral